This 492-nucleotide ribosomal RNA is filed under the name uncultured bacterium. Its description in RNAcentral is "partial 16S ribosomal RNA". It matches the Rfam family "Bacterial small subunit ribosomal RNA", at positions 29 to 507 of the family's 1533-position model. The record is from RNAcentral.
AGUGAACGCUGGCGGUAGGCCUAACACAUGCAAGUCGAACGGCAGCACAGUAAGAGCUUGCUCUUACGGGUGGCGAGUGGCGGACGGGUGAGGAAUACAUCGGAAUCUACUUUUUCGUGGGGGAUAACGUAGGGAAACUUACGCUAAUACCGCAUACGACCUACGGGUGAAAGCAGGGGAUCUUCGGACCUUGCGCGAUUGAAUGAGCCGAUGUCGGACUAGCUAGUUGGCGGGGUAAAGGCCCACCAAGGCGACGACCCGUAGCUGGUCUGAGAGGAUGAUCAGCCACACUGGAACUGAGACACGGUCCAGACUCCUACGGGAGGCAGCAGUGGGGAAUAUUGGACAAUGGGCGCAAGCCUGAUCCAGCCAUACCGCGUGGGUGAAGAAGGCCUUCGGGUUGUAAAGCCCUUUUGUUGGGGAAGAAAAGCAGCAGGUUAAUACCCCGCUGUUCUGACGGUACCCAAAGAAUAAGCACCGGCUAACUUCGUG